GUGGUAUUACCGAUGACAUCAAUCACCAGAGGAAGCUACUUCUUGAAGCUGCCGCGGACGCCGGGGCGGCCCUUGGAGGUCUCGGGGGCGCAGCUGACGUGAAGGUUGAUGAGCUUGGACUCGUCGAAUGGGACCUUGGGGUGGCGGGCGUCGUGGUGGAUCUGCAUGGACUUGAUGUCGGGGGCGGUGGUUUUGCAGAGGGGACACUCCAGCUUGGCGUGGCCGCCCUUGUCGUGGCCCGACCGGUCCGCCAGUCCCGCCU
RNAcentral lists this long non-coding RNA (262 nucleotides) under Musa acuminata (dwarf banana). Its description in RNAcentral is "long non-coding RNA (MACU_LNC001751)". Lineage: Eukaryota; Viridiplantae; Streptophyta; Magnoliopsida; Zingiberales; Musaceae. The record is from RNAcentral.